UUGAGCAUCAAACUUUUAAAUUGAAGAGUUUGAUCAUGGCUCAGAUUGAACGCUGGCGGCAGGCCUAACACAUGCAAGUCGAACGGUAACAGGAAGAAGCUUGCUUCUUUGCUGACGAGUGGCGGACGGGUGAGUAAUGUCUGGGAAACUGCCUGAUGGAGGGGGAUAACUACUGGAAACGGUAGCUAA
This 189-nucleotide ribosomal RNA is filed under the name Escherichia coli. Its description in RNAcentral is "partial 16S ribosomal RNA". It matches the Rfam family "Bacterial small subunit ribosomal RNA", at positions 1 to 166 of the family's 1533-position model. The record is from RNAcentral. Lineage: Bacteria; Pseudomonadati; Pseudomonadota; Gammaproteobacteria; Enterobacterales; Enterobacteriaceae.